GGUUGAUCCUGCCAGUAGUCAUAUGCUUGUCUCAAAGAUUAAGCCAUGCAUGUCUAAGUAUAAGCAUUAUACUGUGAAACUGCGAAUGGCUCAUUAAAUCAGUUAUCGUUUAUUUGAUAGUACCUUACUACUUGGAUAACCGUGGUAAUUCUAGAGCUAAUACAUGCGUAAAAUCCCGACCUCUGGAAGGGAUGUAUUUAUUAGAUAAAAAAUCAAUGCUUCGGCUUCUUGAUGAUUCAUAAUAACUUUUCGAACCGCAUGGCUUUAAGCCGGCGGUGGUUCAUUCAAAUUU
Molecule: ribosomal RNA, 292 nt
Filed under: uncultured eukaryote
Lineage: Eukaryota
Description: partial 18S ribosomal RNA
Rfam family: Eukaryotic small subunit ribosomal RNA
Source: RNAcentral